UGAUAUCCUUGCUAGGGAAGACUGAUAAUUCAUUUUUCCUCAUGGAAGUGCGAAGAGUACGACAUUCCCGCACUAUGACAGGACAUUAAUGGUAGAAGCCUGAUAUGACUAUCCAGAGGAAGGAGCUCGCAUCCAACCAUUGAACUGAGCUUGGGGUCCCCAAUGGAGAAGGGACUGAAGGCGCUGAGGGGGUUUGCAGUCCCAUGGAGGGAGCAACAGUGUCAACAGAGCUCCUAGGAACUGGAUCACCAACUAAAGAAUACACAUGGAGCGACCCAUG
Molecule: long non-coding RNA, 280 nt
Organism: Mus musculus (house mouse)
Lineage: Eukaryota; Metazoa; Chordata; Mammalia; Rodentia; Muridae
Product: predicted gene, 40144
Exons: 3
Source: RefSeq, a predicted model, not a curated record